UACGUAGGCAGCGAGCGUUGUUCGGAGUUACUGGGCGUAAAGGGUGUGUAGGCGGUUGUUUAAGUUUGGUGUGAAAUCUCCCGGCUCAACUGGGAGGGUGCGCCGAAUACUGAAUGACUAGAGUGCGGGAGAGGUGAGUGGAAUUCCUGGUGUAGCGGUGAAAUGCGUAGAUAUCAGGAGGAACACCGGUGGUGUAGACGGCUCACUGGACCGUAACUGACGCUGAGGAGCGAAAGCCAGGGGAGCAAACGGG
Molecule: ribosomal RNA, 253 nt
Filed under: uncultured bacterium
Lineage: Bacteria
Description: partial 16S ribosomal RNA
Rfam family: Bacterial small subunit ribosomal RNA
Source: RNAcentral